GUUGAACGCUGGCGGCAGGCUUAACACAUGCAAGUCGAGCGGAGUGAUGGUGCUUGCACUAUCACUUAGCGGCGGACGGGUGAGUAAUGCUUAGGAAUCUGCCUAUUAGUGGGGGACAACAUCUCGAAAGGGAUGCUAAUACCGCAUACGUCCUACGGGAGAAAGCGGGGGAUCACUUGUGACCUUGCGCUAAUAGAUGAGCCUAAGUCGGAUUAGCUAGUUGGUGGGGUAAAGGCCUACCAAGGCGACGAUCUGUAGCGGGUCUGAGAGGAUGAUCCGCCACACUGGGACUGAGACACGGCCCAGACUCCUACGGGAGGCAGCAGUGGGGAAUAUUGGACAAUGGGGGGAACCCUGAUCCAGCCAUGCCGCGUGUGUGAAGAAGGCCUUAUGGUUGUAAAGCACUUUAAGCGAGGAGGAGGCUCUUUUGGUUAAUACCCAAGAUGAGUGGACGUUACUCGCAGAAUAAGCACCGGCUAACUCUGUGCCAGCAGCCGCAGUAA
RNAcentral lists this ribosomal RNA (503 nucleotides) under uncultured bacterium. Its description in RNAcentral is "partial 16S ribosomal RNA". It matches the Rfam family "Bacterial small subunit ribosomal RNA", at positions 28 to 523 of the family's 1533-position model. The record is from RNAcentral.